RNAcentral lists this ribosomal RNA (497 nucleotides) under uncultured bacterium. Its description in RNAcentral is "partial 16S ribosomal RNA". It matches the Rfam family "Bacterial small subunit ribosomal RNA", at positions 28 to 507 of the family's 1533-position model. The record is from RNAcentral.
GAUGAACGCUGGCGGCGUGCCUAAUACAUGCAAGCCGAGCGAACAGACGAGGAGCUUGCUCCUCUGACGUUAGCGGCGGACGGGUGAGUAACACGUGGAUAACCUACCUAUAAGACUGGGAUAACUUCGGGAAACCGGAGCUAAUACCGGAUAAUAUAUUGAACCGCAUGGUUCAAUAGUGAAAGACGGUUUUGCUUUCACUUAUAGAUGGAUCCGCGCCGCAUUAGCUAGUUGGUAAGGUAACGGCUUACCAAGGCAACGAUGCGUAGCCGACCUGAGAGGGUGAUCGGCCACACUGGAACUGAGACACGGUCCAGACUCCUACGGGAGGCAGCAGUAGGGAAUCUUCCGCAAUGGGCGAAAGCCUGACGGAGCAACGCCGCGUGAGUGAUGAAGGUCUUCGGAUCGUAAAACUCUGUUAUUAGGGAAGAACAAAUGUGUAAGUAACUAUGCACGUCUUGACGGUACCUAAUCAGAAAGCCACGGCUAACUACGUG